Molecule: ribosomal RNA, 498 nt
Filed under: uncultured bacterium
Lineage: Bacteria
Description: bacterial SSU rRNA
Rfam family: Bacterial small subunit ribosomal RNA
Source: RNAcentral
GCCCUUAGAGUUUGAUCCUGGCUCAGGAUGAACGCUGGCGGCGUGCUUAACACAUGCAAGUCGAACGAAGCACUUUGAUCGAUUUCUUCGGAUUGAAAUUUUAGUGACUGAGUGGCGGACGGGUGAGUAACGCGUGGGUAACCUGCCUCACACAGGGGGAUAACAGUUGGAAACGGCUGCUAAUACCGCAUAAGCGCACAGUACCGCAUGGUACAGUGUGAAAAACUCCGGUGGUGUGAGAUGGACCCGCGUCUGAUUAGCUAGUUGGCAGGGCAACGGCCUACCAAGGCGACGAUCAGUAGCCGACCUGAGAGGGUGACCGGCCACAUUGGGACUGAGACACGGCCCAAACUCCUACGGGAGGCAGCAGUGGGGAAUAUUGCACAAUGGGGGAAACCCUGAUGCAGCGACGCCGCGUGAGCGAAGAAGUAUUUCGGUAUGUAAAGCUCUAUCAGCAGGGAAGAAGAAAAGACGGUACCUGACUAGAAGCACCGGCUA